Long non-coding RNA from Chloebia gouldiae (Gouldian finch), 576 nucleotides. NCBI's taxonomy places the organism in Eukaryota, Metazoa, Chordata, Aves, Passeriformes, Passeridae. The record is from Ensembl.
UCCCGCAGCUGGGCGUGGAGCGAGCCCGGGCAGCGGCGGCGCCGGGAGCCGCUUCCAGCUUCCCUCCAUCCAUCCCGGGCUGCGGCCGGGACGGCGCCGGGCUCCGGGCUCUGGCCAUGGCCGAAGCGCAGGAGCCGCCCCCGGCUCUCUCGGAUACCCAGGUCCUGGUGCUGACGGGCGUCACCCUCCCGGCCGCGCUGCUCAGCCUCCUGGGCAGCGGAUCCGUCCUCGCUGUCAUCUCCUGGCAGGGGCGCUGCUGCCACAUCCAGCUGCGCCCCCUGUUCCUCCUGGCCCUGGCAGAUUUCCUGGGUGCCACGGCGCUGCUGGGCACGGGAACCAUCCCGCUGCUGCCGGCCUCCCUCUCCGUGCCCGCCUAUGCCGCCUGUCCCUACGGGCGGAUGCUGACCACGACCUCCUACGCCGCCUCGUUCCUCAUGGUCGCUGUUUACGCGUACGAGUCGCACCGCACCGUCCUCGGGGGGCGAGCCCGGCCCCCGGCAGCGCUGCAGGUCCGUGCCUGGCCCGGGCACAGCCGGGAAUCGCUCUGGCCACACACGGCCCUGUCAGGACAAGGGA